UGAUUGCCAAAGUUGAGGUCCAUAACAG
Molecule: small RNA, 28 nt
Filed under: Bombyx mori (domestic silkworm)
Lineage: Eukaryota; Metazoa; Arthropoda; Insecta; Lepidoptera; Bombycidae
Description: ovarian small RNA-1538
Source: RNAcentral